GUUCAAAAAAUGUCUGCCCUGCUAGAGUUGCCCCGGUCAACUGUAAGUGCUAUUAUUGUGGAAACGUCAAGGAGCAACAACACAAGCUCACAGAACGGGACCGCUGAGUGCUGAAGCAUGUAAAAAUGGUGUCCUCGGCUGCAACACUCACUAACUUCCUUUAUUUCUUCACUUAUGCACUCAUUGUCACUUUCGAUUACUUCCUCAAUUUCACUGUCACUUUCUGACCAGUCAGUCUAUUUUUUAACUUUUUAAUUUUUCAACUUUAUUUAACCUGGUAGACGAGUUGAGAACAAGUUUUAAUUUACAACUGCGACCUGGCCAAGAUCAAGCAAAGCAAUGCGACACAAAAAACAAGACAGAGUUACACAUGGUAUAAACAAAUGUACAGUCGAUAACACAAUAGGAAAAAAAGUCUAUAUGCAGUGUGUGCAAAUGACGUGAGGAGGUAAGGCCAUAGUAGCGAAGUAAUUACAAUUUAGCAAAUUAACACGUAGAAGUUGAAAUACUGGUCUGCAAAAGUAGAAAUACUGAGGUGCAAAAGAGCAAAAAAGUAAAUAAAAACAAUAUGGGGAUGAA
Long non-coding RNA from Oncorhynchus keta (chum salmon), 579 nucleotides. RefSeq lists it as uncharacterized. The transcript has 2 exons. The record is from RefSeq and is a predicted model, not a curated record. Lineage: Eukaryota; Metazoa; Chordata; Actinopteri; Salmoniformes; Salmonidae.